Molecule: ribosomal RNA, 404 nt
Filed under: Bacillota bacterium
Lineage: Bacteria; Bacillati; Bacillota
Description: Firmicutes bacterium partial 16S ribosomal RNA
Rfam family: Bacterial small subunit ribosomal RNA
Source: RNAcentral
UGGGGAAUAUUGGACAAUGGGCGAAAGCCUGAUCCAGCAAUGCCGCGUGAGUGAUGAAGGCCUUAGGGUUGUAAAGCUCUUUUACCCGGGAUGAUAAUGACAGUACCGGGAGAAUAAGCCCCGGCUAACUCCGUGCCAGCAGCCGCGGUAAUACGGAGGGGGCUAGCGUUGUUCGGAAUUACUGGGCGUAAAGCGCACGUAGGCGGCUUUGCAAGUUAGAGGUGAAAGCCCAGGGCUUAACCCUGGAAUUGCCUUUAAAACUGCAUCGCUAGAAUUGUGGAGAGGUAAGUGGAAUUCCGAGUGUAGAGGUGAAAUUCGUAGAUAUUCGGAAGAACACCAGUGGCGAAGGCGACUUACUGGAAACAUAUUGACGCUGAGGUGCGAAAGCGUGGGGAGCAAACAGG